This 411-nucleotide long non-coding RNA is filed under the name Mus musculus (house mouse). RNAcentral's name for it is "lincRNA-EC68". Lineage: Eukaryota; Metazoa; Chordata; Mammalia; Rodentia; Muridae. The record is from RNAcentral.
UGGGAGGUUCUGCUGCGUGACUUGUGGUAGCUACCUGACAAGUACCUCUAAGCUUUCCUGCUCUAACCCAGGGAUAAAAAUAGGCACCCCGCCCUCUUCUGCCCGUAGCCCUUGGUUUUUCCCGUAAGGCCGUUACUGUAAAGCGAGCCACAUCUUCAACCUCUACAGCAGCUCCUAAGACAGCUGCUGAGCCUCAGUGGAAGCUGCAGCCUCCUCAUCUUGGGCCCUCCUGUUGCAGUGGUAUUUUUCUGAAGAAACAGCUGAGGGCUGGAGAGAUGGCUCAGAGGUUAAGAGCACUGACUGUUCUUCUAGGGUCCUGAGUUCAAAUCCCAGCAACCACAUUGUGGCUCCCCACCCUCUGUAAUGGAAUCCAAUGCCCUCUUCUGGUGUGUCUGAAGAAAGCAAUUGUGU